CAACGCGUUGGGAGCUCUCCCAUAUGGUCGACCUGCAGGCGGCCGCGAAUUCACUAGUGAUUAGAGUUUGAUCAUGGCUCAGAACGAACGCUUUCGGUAUGCUUAACACAUGCAAGUCGAACGGAUUUAUUUAGAGCUUGCUUUAAAUAAAUUAGUGGCAGACGGGUGAGUAACACGUGGGAAUCUGCCCAUCAGUACGGAAUAACAUUUAGAAAUAAUUGCUAAUACCGUAUAUUCUCUUUGGAGGAAAGAUUUAUCGCUGAUGGAUGAGCCCGCGCCAGAUUAGGUAGUUGGUAGGGUAAUGGCCUACCAAGCCAAUGAUCUGUAGCUGGUUUGAGAGAAUGAUCAGCCACACUGGGACUGAGACACGGCCCAGACUCCUACGGGAGGCAGCAGUGGGGAAUAUUGGACAAUGGGCGAAAGCCUGAUCCAGCCAUGCCGCGUGUGUGAAGAAGGUCUUCGGAUUGUAAAGCACUUUAAGUUGGGAGGAAGGGCAGUAAGUUAAUACCUUGCUGUUUUGACGUUACCGACAGAAUAAGCACCGGCUAACUUCGUGCCAGCAGCCGCGGUAAAUCGAAUUCCCGCGGCCGCCAUGGCGCCCGGAAGCAUGCGAC
This 614-nucleotide ribosomal RNA is filed under the name uncultured Alphaproteobacteria bacterium. Its description in RNAcentral is "bacterial SSU rRNA". It matches the Rfam family "Bacterial small subunit ribosomal RNA", at positions 1 to 559 of the family's 1533-position model. The record is from RNAcentral. Lineage: Bacteria; Pseudomonadati; Pseudomonadota; Alphaproteobacteria.